GCCUACGGGGGGCAGCAGUGGGGAAUAUUGCACAAUGGGGGAAACCCUGAUGCAGCAACGCCGCGUGAGUGAAGAAGUAUUUCGGUAUGUAAAGCUCUAUCAGCAGGGAAGAAGAUGACGGUACCUGACCAAGAAGCCCCGGCUAACUACGUGCCAGCAGCCGCGGUAAUACGUAGGGGGCAAGCGUUAUCCGGAUUUACUGGGUGUAAAGGGAGCGUAAACGGCAUGGCAAGUCUGAAGUGAAAGCCCGGGGCUCAACCGCGGGACUGCUUUGGAAACUGUUAAGCUGGAGUGCAGGAGAGGUA
Molecule: ribosomal RNA, 305 nt
Filed under: uncultured bacterium
Lineage: Bacteria
Description: bacterial SSU rRNA
Rfam family: Bacterial small subunit ribosomal RNA
Source: RNAcentral